RNA transcript from Polistes dominula (European paper wasp), 650 nucleotides. RefSeq lists it as uncharacterized. NCBI's taxonomy places the organism in Eukaryota, Metazoa, Arthropoda, Insecta, Hymenoptera, Vespidae. The record is from RefSeq and is a predicted model, not a curated record.
UUCUUAUAAUUAAUGAUUAUACCAGAUGUUUAAAAGAUAAUUUAUAUAAACGUGUCUGUGUUAUUUAUGACUAUACAUAGGCCACAAGGUCACACACAAACAAGGAGAAUUUCACAUAUGUUAAGAUGUAUAAAUAUUUCUACCAUGAAUAUUUAAUCGUGAACGUAUCGUUAACGACUAAGGAAAAUUAAUUAGAUUCAAUCGUUUUGAAACAGCCGUUCGAUUCAGGUGAAAAAAAAUUAAAACGUUGAAACCUGAAACUGUGUUUAUCAUGAACAAAAAAGUCUAUAUUAGGAAAAUUUAAUAUUUAUUAAUAUUUCAUCCAAUACACAUACGUCUGAAAAGAAACAUAAUUGAUAAGAGGUACCAGAGGUCGAGGCAGAUAAGGAUUAUUAAACUGCUAAACGGUUGUUCUCAACUAAAGAAUUGUAGUUUUCCAAACACAGUGAUCACAGGCUUAAUAACAAAUUCUUUAUAAUUGAAUUUUUUUAAAAUUAUAAUGUACAUUUUAUAUUCGUAAUGUUGAUAAUGUUUCUCGUGACCACAGUCAAAUUGAUCUAAAAAUCUUCAAACUGUAAAACAAAUGAAAUUUCUACACGCACACACAUAAAAUUGUGAACAUCGUUAUUAUGCUAAUGUAAUCAAAAAUG